Molecule: long non-coding RNA, 280 nt
Organism: Gossypium arboreum
Lineage: Eukaryota; Viridiplantae; Streptophyta; Magnoliopsida; Malvales; Malvaceae
Exons: 2
Source: RefSeq, a predicted model, not a curated record
GUUUAGGAGAAGAUUAAAGGACUACGGAUUGGCAACCGGUGACUUAGUUGUGUGGAAUUAUCGUUGUUCGUUAGAAGGUUGGUGCAAUAGAGCCUCUAGGUGACCACGAGUUUAUAAUCGGUUAAUGAUUAUGAUUUUAUAUUGAUUUAAGGGUUAUUUUCGGAGUUCUGUAAUUAAUGGACUCUCCGGACUGUUUGAUUUUAUUUUAGGAUUUGGUUUUGACUUGACUAUUUAUUUGCAAUAGUUUUUACCAAAACAAUGGUUUUCUAAAAAAAACAAA